Molecule: ribosomal RNA, 279 nt
Filed under: uncultured bacterium
Lineage: Bacteria
Description: partial 16S ribosomal RNA
Rfam family: Bacterial small subunit ribosomal RNA
Source: RNAcentral
UGCCAGCCGCCGCGGUAAUACAGAGGUGGCAAGCGUUGUUCGGUAUCACUGGGCUUAAAGGGCGCGUAGGCGGUCUGGCACGGUCCGGGUGAAAUCCCUCGGCCCAACCGAGGAAUUGCCUGGGCAACGACCAGACUUGACAGCAUCAGGGGAAAGUGGAACUCCCGGUGGAGCGGUGAAAUGCGUAGAUAUCGGGAGGAACGCCGGUGGCGAAAGCGACUUUCUGGGGUGCUUGUGACGCUGAGGCGCGAAAGCUAGGGGAGCGAACGGGAUUAGAUA